This 395-nucleotide ribosomal RNA is filed under the name uncultured bacterium. RNAcentral's name for it is "bacterial SSU rRNA". It matches the Rfam family "Bacterial small subunit ribosomal RNA", at positions 357 to 770 of the family's 1533-position model. The record is from RNAcentral.
GGGAAUCUUCCACAAUGGGCGAAAGCCUGAUGGAGCAACGCCGCGUGGGUGAAGAAGGUCUUCGGAUCGUAAAACCCUGUCCUCAAGGAAGAUAAUGACGGUACUUGAGGAGGAAGCCCCGGCUAACUACGUGCCAGCAGCCGCGGUAAUACGUAGGGGGCUAGCGUUAUCCGGAAUUACUGGGCGUAAAGGGUGCGUAGGUGGUUUCUUAAGUCAGAGGUGAAAGGCUACGGCUCAACCGUAGUAAGCCUUUGAAACUGGGGAACUUGAGUGCAGAAGAGGAGAGUGGAACUCCAUGUGUAGCGGUGAAAUGCGUAGAUAUAUGGAAGAACACCAGUGGCGAAAGCGGCUCUCUGGUCUGUAACUGACGCUGAGGCUCGAAAGCGUGGGGAGCA